Molecule: non-coding RNA, 97 nt
Organism: Stemphylium lycopersici
Lineage: Eukaryota; Fungi; Ascomycota; Dothideomycetes; Pleosporales; Pleosporaceae
Source: the annotation of a GenBank genome assembly
AGUCGCGGUGCCAGAGUGGUUAAUGGGUUAGACUUGAAUUCCCAUAUUCAGUCAUCUAAUGGCUUCGGCCUCGCAAGUUCGAAUCUUGUCCGCGACG